This 468-nucleotide ribosomal RNA is filed under the name uncultured bacterium. RNAcentral's name for it is "partial 16S ribosomal RNA". It matches the Rfam family "Bacterial small subunit ribosomal RNA", at positions 28 to 507 of the family's 1533-position model. The record is from RNAcentral.
GACGAACGCUGGCGGCGUGCUUAACACAUGCAAGUCGAACGGAAAGGCCCUGCUUUUGUGGGGUGCUCGAGUGGCGAACGCGUGAGUAACACGUGAGUAACCUGCCCUUGACUUUGGGAUAACUUCAGGAAACUGGGGCUAAUACCGGAUAGGAGCUCUUGCUGCAUGGGGGGGGUUGGAAAGUUUCGGCGGUUGGGGAUGGACUCGCGGCUUAUCAGCUUGUUGGUGGGGUAGUGGCUUACCAAGGCUUUGACGGGUAGCCGGCCUGAGAGGGUGACCGGCCACACUGGGACUGAGAUACGGCCCAGACUCCUACGGGAGGCAGCAGUGGGGAAUAUUGCACAAUGGGCGGAAGCCUGAUGCAGCAACGCCGCGUGCGGGAUGACGGCCUUCGGGUUGUAAACCGCUUUCGCCUGUGACGAAGCGUGAGUGACGGUAAUGGGUAAAGAAGCACCGGCUAACUACGUG